Molecule: long non-coding RNA, 2501 nt
Organism: Xenopus laevis (African clawed frog)
Lineage: Eukaryota; Metazoa; Chordata; Amphibia; Anura; Pipidae
Exons: 5
Source: RefSeq, a predicted model, not a curated record
GCAUUAGAGCCCUACACUAUGUCCUGAAAGUUGGGGAUAGAGGGCAGACUGCCAGGUUUACAGAGAGUUGUAAGAAAGAUAGAAUAUAGAAUAAUGGAAACAUGCCACUAUUUGCUAACACUUUACUGUAACUGCGAUUAAAACUCCAUUAUUGAAUCUUAUAGCUCUUAAUGGUAAUAAAUUAUAUACAACAAUUUGAGGAGGUUUAAGAGUAAUGGACUAUACAGUAUGUGCAGUAUAACCUUGUGUUGAGUUCAGUGAAUGGGAUUUGUAUAGAACAGUUUUAUAGUCUGUUGUUUUGAUAAAUACAGUAUAUAUUUCACUUAUACAUCACGGAAUACGUCUGGAUGCAUGCUGUGACGGUUCUAUGUUUAAUGCCCCCCCACACACACAGUAUAAAUAGUAAAGCUGAUUUCUUGUAAUAACAUAGCAGAACCCCUGGUAGGAUAAAUACAGAGCCAGUUUUGAUUUGCAGCACUUAAGUUCAUCUACACAUCUGGACCAUGUGCCAUAUCUUGUGCUCAGCUUUUCCAAGCUCUGCCUGUUAUUGGGGUAUGUUUAGGUGUGUUUUAGGCAAUUCAACGGCUGAUGUUAAGUUCAAAUUAUUGGAAGUGGGACACUGGACUGUUACUGGGGUUGACCUGCAGAGGGCUAGGGUGCAAAAUAAAGCUGGCCAUAGACGUGCAGAUUUACACUCAUAACGAACUAACAAUCAUUCGGUGCCAUCUCCCGACCUGACACUUACCAUUCAGAUCAAAUAAAGUAGUAAAAAAAACAGGUCAGCCGAUGUUCUGCCCCUGACAGCAAUCGUACGAAAGUUAUGUCAGACAAAAGCUGGUAUCGUCAGUUCGGCUAUACAUGCAGAGAUAUUGUCAGUAGCCAACAGAAAUUUUCCAACCUGUCCGAUGAACCGAACGACUGAUCGCCAUCUCACAAAAGUGACGGUACACUCCAAACACGGCCCUAAAAUCGUACGAAACGGAGAUUCGUACGAUCAAAUCUUUGUGUCAAUGGGCAGCUUAAGUGUUCAGGUUCUGAGCAAUUGUUGGAGGAGGAGAAUGUAGUUAGUCAAACUAUUAGUGCACAGAUAACCACCUCUGCAGACCACAAAACAGAGAUUAAAGAUUAUGGUUGAAUUUUAUUAUUGGAUAAUAAUCCAUCAUUUGAGUAUGUGCUUAAAGCACUAGUAUUUUACUUUUCAUAAAAUGGAGAAUGCAGAAAAUGCUAAGUUAUAUUAUAUGGUUUUAGAUCUGUAAAGUGAGUGAGAAUUCUGCAACUCAUUGCUUUGAGCUUAAAAGUCCUCAUUGCAUUUCCCUCAUUUCCCAAAUUUUAGCCCCAAUACAGUAUAUGCUUUAACAGCCAGAGGUGUAGGGGCAUUUUGCUACCAAGCAAUGUAUUUGUUAUAAUUCACUUGAAUGGAAUGUAGAAACUUUGUACCUACUUUGCUGGCACACUACAAUUUUUCUGUAUUUUCCAAAGUAACACCUAAAUAAAUUCCUACUCACAUACAGUAUGAUCAGAUAGUGGACCCUACUACUGGUUUUUCUUUUUAAAAAAACCAUGCCAUGGAAAGAUUGCUUACAGAAAUCAAUUAAACUUUCUGUUUUACAGAUACUAAGGCAUUAAGAGUUUGAAGAAGUUUGCAAAGCUACAUGCAAUGGGGCAUAACAAUUCAGUCAAGCCAGGCUGUGCAACAUGCACGCCAGAUGAAAUGGCCGGCUUUCUGACACAGCCGAUGGAUUAUUUGAAGUGGUAGCCCCUGGAGGAUAUAUAUUUUAUUUGGAAGACAAAGAUCAGCCAAAAACAGUGUAAGUUGGAACUGCAGGAAAUUGGUGGACCAGUGGACCAUGGGACAGCAUUUGGCAGAAUUGCCUUUGCUUGCCCUAAAGAUGAGCUUCCAAGCAUCGCAGCACAGAUGAAAAAAGAAAAUCAAAACAUUUUGACUCCUCUAGUCAGCCUGGACACACCUGGAAAAGCCACUGUUCAAGUUGUAAUUUUGCCUGAUCCUGCUAUGACCGCAGACAAGAGUGAAGAAUGGUUUGCAAAACACAAUAGACAGAAGCCUUCUGCCUAGGUGAACGUAAGCAAACUUUAUACCAUCUGAAUAAAAAACUGCAGCGCAGAAUGGAAGAACUGUGCGCAAUUCAACUACACAAAUGAAAUGCAGUAGCUACUUAAUGAUUCUAAUGUUUAUUAAAAUUCCAGAUUUUUUUUUCUGAUGCAUUUAAUUUGGCAUUACAAAACUUAGCUUUUAAUAAUAUUGAUGGGCUUAGCUAUGAAUUUGUGGUAAAGUGCAAAAGAAGUGGCACCAAACUUUGUUUGCCAAAAUUCCAUUUUCUGCUUUCACUCUCCGGUGUUAAAAGAAGUGCAAAAAGUUGCAUCGGUCUUUGUGUGCCGUGCUGCAUGUGUUUAGCUGGAAAGGUGGCAUGUGAUUAAGAACCUACAAGCAGGAGAGUACUGGGAGGUGCAAAGUACUAGGAGGUGAGCACUUACCAUAUUAA